UGGGGAAUAUUGGACAAUGGGCGAAAGCCUGAUCCAGCCAUGCCGCGUGUGUGAAGAAGGUCUUCGGAUUGUAAAGCACUUUAAGUUGGGAGGAAGGGCAGUAAGCGAAUACCUUGCUGUUUUGACGUUACCGACAGAAUAAGCACCGGCUAACUCUGUGCCAGCAGCCGCGGUAAUACAGAGGGUGCAAGCGUUAAUCGGAAUUACUGGGCGUAAAGCGCGCGUAGGUGGUUCGUUAAGUUGAAUGUGAAAGCCCCGGGCUCAACCUGGGAACUGCAUCCAAAACUGGCGAGCUAGAGUAGGGCAGAGGGUGGUGGAAUUUCCUGUGUAUCGGUGAAAUGCGUAGAUAUAGGAAGGAACACCAGUGGCGAAGGCGACCACCUGGGCUCAUACUGACACUGAGGUGCGAAAGCGUGGUGAGCAAACAGG
RNAcentral lists this ribosomal RNA (429 nucleotides) under Pseudomonadota bacterium. RNAcentral describes it as "Proteobacteria bacterium partial 16S ribosomal RNA". It matches the Rfam family "Bacterial small subunit ribosomal RNA", at positions 355 to 776 of the family's 1533-position model. Lineage: Bacteria; Pseudomonadati; Pseudomonadota. The record is from RNAcentral.